Long non-coding RNA from Setaria italica (foxtail millet), 4949 nucleotides. RefSeq lists it as uncharacterized. The transcript has 2 exons. NCBI's taxonomy places the organism in Eukaryota, Viridiplantae, Streptophyta, Magnoliopsida, Poales, Poaceae. The record is from RefSeq and is a predicted model, not a curated record.
AGCGCCGUCCGCUUCGCCUCCCUCCGUCCCGCGCUUUGAGGAUGGCGCUCCGAUCUCCAGCGGACGCGUGUCCGCGAGGCACCAGCAUCGUUCGCUGCGCAUCCCUCCAUCCCGCUCUUCGCGUUUGGCGCUCCGAUCUCCAGCGUGUCCGCCCUACUCCUCCUCGGUCGCCCUGCGCUGCCGCCGCCGCUCGCCCUCCUCCUUUCCUCGGCUCGGUCUCCCUGCGCCCCUCCUCCAUCUCCACCUCACGUCCUCGCCUACGCAAGCCGCUGCACGCGAGGGAGCCCCCAAGAGGGUUGCCGAUCCAGCCCCAGCUGCGCUGACGAUGACACCCGCGCCGGCGGGGACGGACACCUUUGUCGCUGGCGGUCCAAGCCUGGUCACGCCGAUCUGUUUCUACGGCAUGCUGCUUCUUGCUGCUCCUCCCCGACAUCAUCUUCUUCUCUACCAGAGGCCCCCUCCGCUCCUGUGCCGAAGACCAUGGCAUCGCUGCUUGAAGGAUUGCUUCCAGCCUUCCAGGAGAUUGAUGAAAGAGGCUCUGGAAUCGAAAGAUAUAGGUGGCGGUGCAGAAUCUGAAGGAGGAGGUGGCGGUUUUUCCUGUGUGGUGGCAGUGGCUUAGGACCGUCAUCACGGCAGAGCGAGGCCAUCAUCAAGGUGCAGAGGAGCAUCACAGUCCUCACAGGGCCAUCAUACAGCAGGCAGGCAUAAGCAUCUUUUGAUUCAGCGGGCAUUGGCAACACCGGCAUAUAGGUCUGCUACGUCCUUGCAUACCUGUUGGUGACAGUGCGCCGUUGGUCAUGGCUCAUGGCGCAUCUGCAGCGAGCCAAGUCUAAUUGAGCCAGGUUUUAUAGUGUGAAAGGUAAAAUCAAGAAUUUCUUAAUUUGUAGGACUGUAAUCAUAGGUAAAAUCAAGAACUUCUCGCUGUUCAUGAAGCAACGCUUAAGGUUCCAGGAUCAUUUAUUAUCAUAGUUUUAUGAAAUUUAACACAAUCAAUACCUUCCCUCUCCUGUUUACUAGAGCAUCUAACAACACAAGCUUAUGUUAUUUCACAUUGUCACAUUGCAAUUAACAAAUGCUAACUUCGAUAAGGUAGUUGAGCUGGCAAAGCAGCUCCAGGUUUUUCUUUGUUGUUGACUCUGGUUUUGCCUGGUUCAUGUUUGGGAAUUAGGGCUGUUUGCAAGUCCUGUUACAUGAUUUUUAGUCAAUACAUAUUGGUGAUUCUUAAUCACUCCCUUUUAUCUUGUCGGUGAAUUUAGCUUUAGGACAGAGCUUAUUACAUUACAUUGUGAAAGCAUAUGUUUUACCUUUACUCCUUACAUGGAUCAAGAUUAUUUCAACUAAAAUUUGAGCCAAUUCAGUUAUACUACCUGCGGAAAUAUAGGUCACAUGACAGGUUGCAAUUAAGUAAACAUAUUGCGUACAAUUUGGACAUUUAAACUACUAGCAGAAAUAGUCAUUUCACUCUGUUUAAAAACAUAGAAGGGGAAGGGAGUCCUUUCUAUGGUAAGUCAGCAUGGAGUACAAUUUUGAUAAAAAAAAAUUCUUGGGAGGUUGGCAGGGGUGAGCAAGUGUUUUGUACUUCAGUGUCCAGAGCUUGUGUCAUUUCUUUUUCUACCCCUGUUUACAGGGCUUGUAAUUUGACUUUCUUUGUCCUGCUUAAUAGAAUGACAAGUAGUUAGACUUAAAUUUAAAUUUCUGUACUUUGAUGCCCCUGAAGCUUGCUGUUUUUAAUUUCUUAACCUACACCUUCUGGCAUGUAAACCAUUCAAGGUAUCCAGUUUGAGACCAACUAUGAAGCUGGUCUUCUCUCCAGGCUGAUAAUUGCUUACUGUCUUGUAGGAGCCAGAGGGCCAGAGAAGUUCUACAAGUCAGUAUUACAUAUUAAUAGUAUACUAUCGUAUAAACUUGAGCAAUUCCAAAUUCAAAUUAUGCUCUAAUGUUAAAUCUGCUAUCUGGAUGCCUUAUUUUCUCAUAAUGCAGACCAUAAAUAGCAAGAAUUUUGAAUUUUAGAGAUAGGGGAUUGCAGCAUCCAAGAUAUAGGUAAUUUUCUAAAAAACUAAUUGAGUAGAGAUAUUUUUGGGCAAACCAUAUGUUGCUCUUAAUUAGGUUAAUUUUCAACAGCUCAUGAGUGAAGGAAUUGACCCUAAUUUUUUCACAUAAAAUAUUGUGCUACAAUUUUUAUUCUUUAGUACUCCUGCCACAUUAUAUCAACACAAGAUUGGUACUCCUUUAUUUGUUCCCUCAGUAUCUGUGCGAAAAUAUCGCUUUAAUUCUGAAAUUUGCGUUUAGCAUCUUCUACCAUUGCUGUAGACUUUUAGUGACUGUUCUAGAUUUGCUUGUAGGAAGACAGUGUGCUUACCAUACAGAGUAGUGCUUGAUAUUUCAGGGUGAAGUGCAUUUCUCUGAUGGUUUUAUUUAUACCUAAUCAUAAGUUUUCCUUGUAGCUAAUUAUAGGUUGCAGGUUAUUUUGCUAAUUUCAGUAAUUUGCAACAUGCUGCCUUGGAGCAACUCUAAAUCUAAAGUAAACAAACUGAACCUAUGUUUCUAGGUUUCUUUUUUAUAAGAAUGUGUAUUGUAAAUUUACAAGAAACUAAUAUUUACCAAAACAUUUUGUAUUCUACCAAAAGUUUUGAGAAGCUACACAAUUUUCAUUUGAACCUGCAAGGUUUACAUAUAAUUAUUUUGUUUGUUUUCUCAUGGGAUGAUGACUUUAAUACUACAAAAGGCACGAUAUCUGUACUUGCCAAUUCUCUGCUACUGAUCAUUCUACUCUAUAUUAUUUCAUUCUUUUCUACGGACCAGGUGUACCAGCCGAGCUGUAUAACUCAUUGCUUGCUUGUGGUCUGCAAAUUGUAUUUCAUGCCAUUUUCUACUUCUUCUCUGCUGUUUUGAUUCUCUGAAAUGAUUGAAUGUGCACUAUUAUGGUCACUGUAUAUAGACGAUUGUGCUAAGAGAGCUGUUGUUUCAGCCUGACAGGAAAGAUGAGCUCACAAGGAUUGAGCCCACAUGAGGGAAGUCAUCACUGGGGUGGCCAAUGAGCUGGUAUACUUCAUUUUGUUUCAGCCUGAAUAGAUGAAAGCUUCAUUUUGUUUCAGUCUGAAUAGAUGAAAGCUUCAUUUUGUUUCAGCCUGACUAGAUGCUUUCUUCAGAUGUUGGACUGCCUUGCUGGCAUAUUUAUAGGCAGUGAUAACUUCUUAUUCAUAUUCUUUCAAACACCUAGGUGUUAAUUGAUCCUUCUGCCCACCUUCUCACAUGCUGAAGACUCUAGCUCUGCUCGCUUGAGCUAUUGCUGCGGCUGCAGCUGCAUCCUACCUAUACAAAAGUGCUGUAGCAUUGAACUAAAAGCGGCAGCAACAGCCCUGAAACAAACACGCUGUCUGAAUUGAAUCUGCAUUCCAAUAUUAUGAGUGCACUCCAUCUGAUUAUUUUGGAAAACUGUAACAAAUUACAGGUAAAGAUGACAAUAUUUACUUGUUUUUUUUUGUGGUUGUCUUUUGAAACUGUUAACUUUCUUUGUAGCUUUUUCCAGCUAUUAUUGAUGGAAGGUAAAGCCUAUGAUACGACAGUAUAUUGAUUGGUCCCAUAUUAUUUGCCUCUGCUUCCUUUUAUGUGUUCUAAUGUGGUCUAUACAUUAUUGUUUAGUACGGAUUGGUGAAAAAAAUGAAUACUCUUCAUAGCUUAUGCUACUGAUGAGAUAGGUAUAUAGAAGAUCAAUCAGUGCUAUUGUAGCAAUCCUACAUUUCUACUUCAGUACUUGAGUUAGCAGAAACCAUGUACAUGCAAAGGUGAAUACAAUUCUGUAGAGCAAGAUAAAAUUGCAGCAUGGGGAUGGUCGAAGGUGGCACUCAAGUGAUAAGUGUUUUAGUCUUAGUUUCCUUUGCAAAAUAAUUGUUUGUUAGCAUCAGAUGGCAGGCAUGCACUAAAAUGUUAUGAGUGCUUCGUGCCUUCUUACUCAAAGUCCUAUGCACUUAAUCUGAUAGUUCAAGGUUCGGAUAUGAGCCUCUUUAUGUGUUUUCAUAUUUGCUUUGACACUUAUGUAGAAUUGAUCCUUGUAGAAUUGAUUCUUGUGUAUCUCAAUACGGCUAAAAAAUAAUAAAUUGUUAGAAUUGUAUGAUAACAAAGCACUAUGUUUUUAUACUCUUGUUAGGAGUUUUUUGUUUAUUAAUAUACUUAUCGUCUUAUUGAAUACUCAAUGUAUUAUAAUAUAAUAAAUAUUUUGCCGCCCGUAGCAACGCACGGGCACGAUCCUAGUGAAGUCGUAAAACCAGCCAAACCAUGUCUUACAAUAUCUUGUUGAAAUAUUUGUUUCCUUUGCAAGUUUCAUAUGUGUCUAUUUCUACUGAGCUCUUGUUUGCAUUGUGAAGUGGAGCUCAAACAAAGAUGUCUUUUGAAAUUAGCGAUAAUCUAACCUCAAGAAACACAACUUAGGUAUUUUUUAUUUUACCUGCUUGAAAUGUGCAUUUACUGAUGUGUUUAUUCUUACCAAAUUUACGUGAUGAUCUUAGUGGAAUUGAUGUGGCUAGAAAGGUUAGAGGGAGGGGAAACAUAAAUGAGAUAAGAAACUAAUGAGGUGUGGGUGUAAUGCUGUGAACAGGAUGAAAAGGUGAUGGUACAUAUCAAGUUGCUCCGUUUGUUGAAGCACACACAUGAGCCUCGCAGCUGAUCAGGGUGGACAGAGGAUAGAGCAAGAUGCCAGGUUGCCAAUAUUAUUGUCGAAAUAUGGUACUUAGCACAAUCGUUAGCAAUGUAAGAGUAAUUUAUUGUGCCUUGUAAGAUUCACUAUUACCAUGUCAUGUAUACUUGACAACAGUAGUCAGAAUGGUGUACGAGCUUGAUUGUAUGCACACUGUAUGAUGCCCAAAUGUGUUAUCGCCGUGUGUAAUAUUAAUUUUCUAGUCUCUUGUGAACAAUAUUGCCCAUAUAUAUGAUUUACAAGAGAGUUGAUUUGA